RNAcentral lists this transfer RNA (72 nucleotides) under Rattus norvegicus (Norway rat). It matches the Rfam family "tRNA". Rfam says of the family: Transfer RNA (tRNA) molecules are approximately 80 nucleotides in length. The record is from Rfam by way of RNAcentral. Lineage: Eukaryota; Metazoa; Chordata; Mammalia; Rodentia; Muridae.
GGGGAUUUAGCUCAGCGGUAGAGCACUUGCCUAGUAAGCCCAAGGCUCUGGGUUCGGUCCCCAGCCCCCCCA